AGCAGCCGCGGUAAUUCCAGCUCCAAUAGCGUAUAUUAAAGUUGUUGCAGUUAAAAGCUCGUAGUUGAAUUUCGGGGUUUAUCCGUUGGUCGGGCUUUUUGGUCUGUACUGGCGUGAUGGAUUCCUACCUUCUGAAUAACCGGCAUGCCAUUAAUUUGGUGCGCCGGGGAAGCAGGACUGUUACCUUGAAAAAAUUAGAGUGCUUAAAGCAGGCUUAUGCCUGAAUACAUUAGCAUGGAAUAAUGAAAUAGGACGGCAUGGUUCUAUUUUGUUGGUUUCUAGGAUCACCGUAAUGAUUAAUAGGGAUAGUUGGGGGCAUUAGUAUUCAAUUGUCAGAGGUGAAAUUCUUGGAUUUAUUGAAGACUAACUUCUGCGAAAGCAUUUGCCAAGGAUGUUUUCAUUAAUCAAGAACGAAAGUUAGGGGAUCGAAGACGAUCAGAUACCGUCGUAGUCCUAACCAUAAACUAUGCCGACUAGGGAUCGGACGAUGUUAAUUUUUUAAUGACUCGUUCGGCGCCUU
RNAcentral lists this ribosomal RNA (520 nucleotides) under uncultured Glomus. RNAcentral describes it as "SSU rRNA". It matches the Rfam family "Eukaryotic small subunit ribosomal RNA", at positions 569 to 1089 of the family's 1831-position model. Lineage: Eukaryota; Fungi; Glomeromycota; Glomeromycetes; Glomerales; Glomeraceae. The record is from RNAcentral.